UGAUGUUUUUCUAAUUAUAAUACUUAAUUGUAAUACUUGCAAUUGUACAUGUUAGAUUCCAUACAAGAAGAUGGGUGUUGGUGUCUCUACAUGUUUUGAAGUUUGGCUCAUUUUAUAAUCGCAGCAAGGUAGUCUACGAACACAUAAUCGAAUCGAGAGUGCUGUCCAUAUUGUUUUUCUGUUCUAUGAUAGCUGGUUAGAGUUGUAAGAGUAUAUGGAUGAAAACAGGAGAAUUAAAGAAAAAAUUGAUAUUUUAUUUCACAAUCCUUGCACAAAAACAAAAUCAUUCACAAUCCUUCUCUUACUUAUUUUACCUUUUUGUUUUUAAAGAAAAAUCCCAGAUCCCAUUCUCAAUCAUCAAAAGCCCCAUAGAAUCCUUGCCCAUUGGCCAAAUAGCUAGUCUGCCAUGCCAGUCUUAACUCUUCGACUUUAGUUCUCUUUGAUUAUUUUCUUUUGUUUUUCCCCUCUCUCACACUGUCUCCAGCAAAAGAGAUUCAAAUUCACCUUGCUUCAUUUCCCUCUCAUGUCAAAUAAAAUCAAAAAAUCACAGUUCUACUUGAUGGUAGCAACUUCUAUCCAUCAUCCAUGAUUGGAUCACAUAUGCUACGGUCUAAAUGGGUCCAUCCAACCAGUGCAUCAAGACCAUAAAGGCAUAUCUGCAAUCACUAAAGUAUCACUUCUGAUCAUCAUCCAUCAGCAGCGAAAUCUAUAUGGGUCCGCAAAAAAACGUCAUUUCCUCAGCAGAGGUACAUUGUCACAGGCAGUUAACUACCCAGUAAGCAUCACUCAAAACAUGCAACGACACCAUAGAUAUGCGUCAUAAUUGCCACAAGGAUACAAAUCUAUCCGUUUCUUUGGGAGGAAGAAAGGCUUAACCUUGUCCUUGCCUCCUUGGUGUGUGCUGACAAAAGUCUCUUUAGGCAAGGCAAAGUUCAGCAGAUCCACUUCCUAUGAAAGCAGUGGAUGAAUACGAAGUAUAUGCCCACAAAGAGC
Molecule: long non-coding RNA, 993 nt
Filed under: Phoenix dactylifera (date palm)
Lineage: Eukaryota; Viridiplantae; Streptophyta; Magnoliopsida; Arecales; Arecaceae
Description: long non-coding RNA (PDAC_LNC002212)
Source: RNAcentral